UUGCUUGCUUCAGCAGCACAUAUACUAAAAUUGCAAUGACACAGAGAAGAUUAGCAUGGUCCCUGCGGAAGGAUGACAUGUAAAUUCAGGAAGCAUUCCAUAUUUAA
RNAcentral lists this small nuclear RNA (107 nucleotides) under Prolemur simus (greater bamboo lemur). The record is from RNAcentral. Lineage: Eukaryota; Metazoa; Chordata; Mammalia; Primates; Lemuridae.